RNAcentral lists this transfer RNA (73 nucleotides) under Mustela putorius furo (domestic ferret). It matches the Rfam family "tRNA". Rfam says of the family: Transfer RNA (tRNA) molecules are approximately 80 nucleotides in length. The record is from Rfam by way of RNAcentral. Lineage: Eukaryota; Metazoa; Chordata; Mammalia; Carnivora; Mustelidae.
ACCUGUCUGGCUUAGUUGGUAGAGCAUUUGACUCUUGAUCUUGAGGUUGUGAGUUCAAGCCUCACAUUGGGUG